Molecule: non-coding RNA, 46 nt
Organism: Drosophila sechellia
Lineage: Eukaryota; Metazoa; Arthropoda; Insecta; Diptera; Drosophilidae
Source: Rfam
AAAAAGGAUUUAUUUAAAUCCAAAGAAAUCAAUAAGGAAAGAAAUU